Molecule: ribosomal RNA, 252 nt
Filed under: uncultured bacterium
Lineage: Bacteria
Description: partial 16S ribosomal RNA
Rfam family: Bacterial small subunit ribosomal RNA
Source: RNAcentral
CACGGGGGGAGCAAGCGUUGUUCGGAAUCACUGGGCGUAAAGGGCGUGUAGGCGGUCAAGUAAGUGGAAUGUGAAAGCCCCGGCUUACCCGGGGAUCUGCAUCCCAAACUGCUUGGCUUGAGUACGGGAGAGGAUGGAGGAAUUCCUGGUGUAGCGGUGAAAUGCGUAGAUAUCAGGAGGAACACCGGUGGCGAAGGCGUCCAUCUGGCCCGAUACUGACGCUGAGGCGCGAAAGCUAGGGGAGCGAACGGG